RNAcentral lists this transfer RNA (67 nucleotides) under Yungipicus canicapillus (Grey-capped woodpecker). RNAcentral's name for it is "Dendrocopos canicapillus (Grey-capped woodpecker) tRNA-Cys". The record is from RNAcentral. Lineage: Eukaryota; Metazoa; Chordata; Aves; Piciformes; Picidae.
AGCCCCGUAGUGAAAUUCAUGUUGAGUUGCAAGCUCUGCGAUGUGCAUUAAAGGUGCACCGGGACUU